Sinocyclocheilus anshuiensis is the source of this 184-nucleotide long non-coding RNA. RefSeq lists it as uncharacterized. Lineage: Eukaryota; Metazoa; Chordata; Actinopteri; Cypriniformes; Cyprinidae. The transcript is spliced from 3 exons. The record is from RefSeq and is a predicted model, not a curated record.
UCUCAUUCCACUAACAAUAAACUGCUGGCCCUCUGAGAGUGGUACUAGCUGUGAUGUAAACAUUGAGUAUGAGCUGCAGGAUGAAUCUCUGGAACUCAAUGAUGUAGUCAUUUCUAUCCCUGUACCGUCAGGGGUAGGGGCUCCUGUGAUUGGUGAUCUAGAUGGAGAAUAUCGCCAUGACAGC